Molecule: long non-coding RNA, 2559 nt
Filed under: Mytilus galloprovincialis (Mediterranean mussel)
Lineage: Eukaryota; Metazoa; Mollusca; Bivalvia; Mytilida; Mytilidae
Source: RNAcentral
UCCGUAUUUUACUUAUAAAUGCACUUAGUUUUUCUGCGGGAAAACAUUACAUCACUCUGUGGUUGUAGUUUUUAAAAUUUUAAUAACUUUCUUAAACUAUCCUUGGUUUGUACCAAACUUGGACAGAAGCUUGUUUAUGAUCAUAAGAUAGUAUCCAGAAGUAAAUUUUGUAAAAUGACAAAUCCUUUUUUUCCAUAUUUUACUUUAAAUGGACUUUUUUUCUGCCAGGAAACAACACAUUCACUCUGUGGUUAAAUUUUUUAAAAAUUUUGAUAACUUUCUUUAUUCUAUUUUUAUUUGUACCAAACUACAACAGAAGCUUGUUUAUGAUCAAAAGCUAGUAUCUAGAAGAAAAUUUUGUUAAUAUUUUGUACCUGUGUAUCUGUAUUUUACUUAUAAAUGGACUUAGUUUUUCUUCCAGUUAACACUACAUCCAGUCUGCAGUUAAAGUUUUUAAAACAUUUAUUAGAUUCAUAAACUAUCCAGGAUUUUCUACCAAACUUGGACAGAAGCUUCCUACAAUCCAAACAUGGAAUCAAGCGGAAUAUUUUUAUUGAUUUUUUCCCUCAUUUUUGUUGAUCCUGCAAUUUACAGCAAAAGUAGGCGAGACACUGGGUUCCGUGGAACCCUUACAAAUUGUUUUCCCAGUUAAUGCAUCACUUGUAGUGACCAUUUCCAGGUGAUAAGCUGUUACUCAUUCUCUGUUUCUUUCUUUCAUUUUAAUUCUAUCUUUACUAAUUACCGGUAGUUGGUUAAUGUUAGUCAUUAAUACAGAAAGCAUUUUAAUAGAUAUUAUAUGAGAGUGUUAAUGUGGGUACCUUUAUGACUUAUAAUGGUAAAAUUCUUGCCAAAUGAUGAUGACAAUAAUUUUUGGUGCAUGAUGAAAAAUGAACGCAUUCUUAUAGACGAUAAAAAAAAUCGACUGAUUUUGACCAAUCACGUUAUAAUUCUUAUAUGAUUUGCAGAUCUAUAAAUACUUGAAUUGGAUUGGUCAAUGAGAAUUUUUUCUAAGUUUACACUUCGAUAAACCAUGUUUCCGAAACUACUUUUGUAAUCUAUUCAUUGCGCGAUACACAAGCUGCAGUGAUCCCGGGAUUUUCAGCAAAUUGAGAUUUAAAAACAAUUGCAUAACAAUUGUGACUAUUCUAGUGCAUAUAUAACAAAAAAACGAAACAAAUUUAAUGCACUAAAGCUUCGAAAAUGUAUAAAAAUAAAAUUUAAUAAAAUUCCGCGAAAUUUCAUGAAGGUUUUGGCAAAUUUACAUCAUGGCAAAACACGAUGUCAUACUGACGAAUAGAAAUUUUCAAGGGAAAGAUUAUUUCGUUACGUGUACGCUUCAAAUUCGGAUAAUAUUUAAUUAAAAUAAGUUUUUGAGGUAGGUGCUAUUUCAUUUAAGAUUCCGUUGUAUUUAUCUGACAUUUAUGGUUUUUAGGAAGUCCAGAUGGCGGAGUACUCCUUAUAGUUACGACUUGCCAUUGUGCUUUUGAUGGUAAAUGUAUAUAGUAGCCAUCAACAAAAAAAAUGUUUAUUAAAUAUCACAAAUGUUUGCAUGAAGAAUUAUAAGGAUUAAACACAUUUUUUCUAGAGGUUAUUGAUGUGUAAACCGGGGCUCUUACUCACAAACUCAACAUAAAAGUCCUUUGGACUUUUAUUUAGUUUGUGAGUUAAUUGCCCCAGUUUACACAUCAAUAACCUCUAGAAAAAAUAUGUUUAAUCCUAUAAUAACAGUAACGAUAAUUAUUUGAGACCUUUGACAAAUCAUGAUAAGGAUAAUUUGACGAAUCACUGUAAAAAUUUUCCAAAUUUGAUGCUAACAAUAGCCAAAAAUAACUGUUUGACGCCUGAUGGUAUAUUUUAGUAAGAUGCAAUAGAUAUUUAAGAGAUAUAGCAACAUUUUGUCUUGAAAUGUAAAUAUUUUUGCAUUAAUUUUUGUUUUGAAUGACUAUUUUUGCUAUACCAUUUUUGGUUAAAAUAUAGGACCUUAGUUGUCUGCUUAUCUGUGAUUGAAGCUAUUUAUAAAUAGAAGACCCUUAUCUGAUGUCAGAUAUUGUUGUAUAUUCCAUAGUGUUUCAAAUACAUAGAUGGUUCAUUGGCAGCUUAAAAAUCCUUAAAACAAUCACUGUAGCAGAGAGAAAAGAGAUCACAUUACAUUUUGUAUAUAAUAAAUAUACAUGUUGAAAUCUUGGCUAUUCAAAAUAGUGUAUUGAAACACAUGUUUAAAAUGAAGUAGAAAAUAGUAUGAAUAAUAUUUGAAUAUGUAUACUAUAAUGUUUACUUAAACUUGUGUUUCUCUUGAAGAUUUUAAAUUCUAUCAAUAUCAUUAUCAUUAAAAAAAAGGUACCAGAAAUCAUAGAGAAAUCAAAUUAUUUUUAUUUUGGUGUUUUUUUUUUAAUGAUUUAUUGUUAAGGAUGACAUGAAAUGUUUUCAGUACCACUUGUAAAAGCUGAUAAAUUAAAAUAUAUAUAGGAUAACAAACUUUUGAUUUAAAUGAUUGUUUUAAUUUGUCUCUGGUAUAUAUGAAUAAUUGUAUAUAUAUUUGAAGUCCUAUAUUAUUAAAGA